This is a non-coding RNA of Paramuricea clavata, 257 nucleotides long. Lineage: Eukaryota; Metazoa; Cnidaria; Anthozoa; Malacalcyonacea; Plexauridae. The record is from the annotation of a GenBank genome assembly.
CUCGUUACUGAUUGAACACACCCAUAACAAUCAACAUUCUUCAAACAAUAUUUGCUUGAACUUACCCAUUUCAACAGGUUUACACGUAGCGAGUUUCGCAAACGCUUGCUGUCCAGUUGUUUCUUCGGUCGUGUGGAAAACAUUGUAGAUUACGUUAGUUUUCUUUUUGCAAAUUCGUUGGAAACCAGAGCAGGAAAGCGACAAACAACUGCAAUGCGAUGUCUUUUAUACGAUUUGUUAUUCAAUAUACACAUAUA